This 73-nucleotide transfer RNA is filed under the name Hydatigera taeniaeformis. RNAcentral's name for it is "Taenia taeniaeformis tRNA". It matches the Rfam family "tRNA". Rfam says of the family: Transfer RNA (tRNA) molecules are approximately 80 nucleotides in length. Lineage: Eukaryota; Metazoa; Platyhelminthes; Cestoda; Cyclophyllidea; Taeniidae. The record is from Rfam by way of RNAcentral.
GGGUGUGUGGCGUAAUGGAUAACGCGUCUGACUUCGGAUCAGAAGAUUCCGGCUUCGAGUCCCGGUGCACCCC